RNAcentral lists this small RNA (77 nucleotides) under Tenacibaculum todarodis. RNAcentral describes it as "Tenacibaculum sp. LPB0136 Flavo-1 RNA". It matches the Rfam family "Flavo-1 RNA". Lineage: Bacteria; Pseudomonadati; Bacteroidota; Flavobacteriia; Flavobacteriales; Flavobacteriaceae. The record is from Rfam by way of RNAcentral.
GUUUUGCGUGAGGGAUUGAAGUAGAAAUCCUUUUGUGAAGAAUGAACAAAAGAUUGUAACGGAAAGCCCGACCACGC